GCUGCCUCGUGCUGUCGAGCUUCUGG
This 26-nucleotide non-coding RNA is filed under the name Cricetulus griseus (Chinese hamster). The record is from RNAcentral. Lineage: Eukaryota; Metazoa; Chordata; Mammalia; Rodentia; Cricetidae.